AAUAGAUACCCCGGUAGUCCACGCCGUAAACGAUGAGUGCUAAGUGUUAGGGGGUUUCCGCCCCUUAGUGCUGCAGCUAACGCAUUAAGCACUCCGCCUGGGGAGUACGGUCGCAAGACUGAAACUCAAAGGAAUUGACGGGGGCCCGCACAAGCGGUGGAGCAUGUGGUUUAAUUCGAAGCAACGCGAAGAACCUUACCAGGUCUUGACAUCCCAUUGACCGCUAUGGAGACAUAGUUUUCCCUUCGGGGACAGUGGUGACAGGUGGUGCAUGGUUGUCGUCAGCUCGUGUCGUGAGAUGCUGGGUUAAGUCCCGCAACGAGCGCAACCCUUGUUCUUAGUUGCCAUCAUUUAGUUGGGCACUCUAAGGAGACUGCCGGUGACAAACCGGAGGAAGGUGGGGAUGACGUCAAAUCAUCAUGCCCCUUAUGACCUGGGCUACACACGUGCUACAAUGGACGGUACAAACGGUUGCCAACCCGGCGAGGGGGUAGCUAAUCCGGAUAAAACCGGUUCUCAGUUCGGAUUGUAGGCUGCAACUCGCCUAC
Molecule: ribosomal RNA, 548 nt
Filed under: uncultured bacterium
Lineage: Bacteria
Description: bacterial SSU rRNA
Rfam family: Bacterial small subunit ribosomal RNA
Source: RNAcentral